RNAcentral lists this ribosomal RNA (546 nucleotides) under uncultured bacterium. RNAcentral describes it as "bacterial SSU rRNA". It matches the Rfam family "Bacterial small subunit ribosomal RNA", at positions 355 to 896 of the family's 1533-position model. The record is from RNAcentral.
UGGGGAAUAUUGCGCAAUGGGGGGAACCCUGACGCAGCCAUGCCGCGUGAAUGAAGAAGGCCUUCGGGUUGUAAAGUUCUUUCGGUAUUGAGGAAGGUUGAUGUGUUAAUAGCACAUCAAAUUGACGUUAAAUACAGAAGAAGCACCGGCUAACUCCGUGCCAGCAGCCGCGGUAAUACGGAGGGUGCGAGCGUUAAUCGGAAUAACUGGGCGUAAAGGGCACGCAGGCGGUUAUUUAAGUGAGGUGUGAAAGCCCCGGGCUUAACCUGGGAAUUGCAUUUCAGACUGGGUAACUAGAGUACUUUAGGGAGGGGUAGAAUUCCACGUGUAGCGGUGAAAUGCGUAGAGAUGUGGAGGAAUACCGAAGGCGAAGGCAGCCCCUUGGGAAUGUACUGACGCUCAUGUGCGAAAGCGUGGGAGCAAACAGGAUUAGAUACCCUGGUAGUCCACGCUGUAAACGCUGUCGAUUUGGGGGUUGGGGUUUAACUCUGGCGCCCGUAGCUAACGUGAUAAAUCGACCGCCUGGGGAGUACGGCCGCAAGGUUA